GACGAACUGUCCAAACGUUGUUCGGAAUCACUGGGCGUAAAGCGCACGUAGGCGGAUGUGUCAGUCAGGGGUGAAAUCCCGGAGCUCAACUUCGGAACUGCCUUUGAUACAGCACAUCUGGAGUCCGGAAGAGGUGGGUGGAAUUCCUAGUGUAGAGGUGAAAUUCGUAGAUAUUAGGAAGAACACCGGUGGCGAAGGCGGCCCACUGGUCCGGUACUGACGCUGAGGUGCGAAAGCGUGGGGAGCGAACAGG
Molecule: ribosomal RNA, 253 nt
Filed under: uncultured bacterium
Lineage: Bacteria
Description: partial 16S ribosomal RNA
Rfam family: Bacterial small subunit ribosomal RNA
Source: RNAcentral